CUUCCAGGAAAAGUCUCUAAGCUUCAGUUACACAGGAAUCGUACCCGAAACCGACACAGGUGGUCAGGUCGAGUAGACCAAAGCGCUUGAGAGAACUCUGCUGAAGGAACUAGGCAAAAUGGUACCGUAACUUCGGGAGAAGGUACGCUGUUGUCUGUGAUAGGACUUGCUCCUUGAGCGGCCGACAGCCUCAGAAACCAGGCCCCUGCAACUGUUUAUUAAAAACAUAGCACUCUGCAAACACGAAAGUGGACGUAUAGGGUGUGAUGCCUGCCCGGUGCUGGAAGGUUAAUUGAUGGGGUUAGCGUAAGCGAAGCUCUUGAUCGAAGCCCCAGUAAACGGCGGCCGUAACUAUAACGGUCCUAAGGUAGCGAAAUUCCUUGUCGGGUAAGUUCCGACCUGCACGAAUGGCAUAAUGAUGGGGGCGCUGUCUCCAGCAGAGACUCAGUGAAAUCGAAUUCGCCGUGAAGAUGCGGUGUACCCGCGGCUAGACGGAAAGACCCCGUGAACCUUUACUGCAGCUUGACAUUGAACUUUGAUCUUACUUGUGUAGGAUAGGUGGGAGGCUUUGAAACCGAGACGCUAGUUUCGGUGGAGCCAAUCUUGAAAUACCACCCUGGUAAUAUUGAGGUUCUAACUCUGUCCCGUUAUCCGGGACGAGGACCAUGUCUGGUGGGUAGUUUGACUGGGGCGGUCUCCUCCUAAAGAGUAACGGAGGAGUACGAAGGUGCGCUCAGCGUGGUCGGAAAUCACGCGUAGAGUAUAAAGGCAAAAGCGCGCUUAACUGCGAGACCCACAAGUCGAGCAGGUACGAAAGUAGGUCUUAGUGAUCCGGUGGUUCUGUAUGGAAGGGCCAUCGCUCAACGGAUAAAAGGUACUCUGGGGAUAACAGGCUGAUACCGCCCAAGAGUUCAUAUCGACGGCGGUGUUUGGCACCUCGAUGUCGGCUCAUCUCAUCCUGGGGCUGAAGCAGGUCCCAAGGGUAUGGCUGUUCGCCAUUUAAAGAGGUACGCGAGCUGGGUUUAGAACGUCGUGAGACAGUUCGGUCCCUAUCUACCGUGGGCGUUGGAAAUUUGAGAGGAUCUGCUCCUAGUACGAGAGGACCAGAGUGGACGAACCUCUGGUGUACCGGUUGUGACGCCAGUCGCAUCGCCGGGUAGCUAUGUUCGGAAGGGAUAACCGCUGAAAGCAUCUAAGCGGGAAGCCUACCUCAAGAUAAGAUUUCCCUAGGACUUUAUGUCCUCUAAAGAGCCGUUGAAGACUACGACGUUGAUAGGUUGGAUGUGGAAGCAUAGUGAUAUGUGAAGCUGACCAAUACUAAUUGCUCGUGAGGCUUGACUAU
This 1342-nucleotide ribosomal RNA is filed under the name Physeter macrocephalus (sperm whale). Its description in RNAcentral is "bacterial LSU rRNA". It matches the Rfam family "Bacterial large subunit ribosomal RNA", at positions 1605 to 2925 of the family's 2925-position model. Lineage: Eukaryota; Metazoa; Chordata; Mammalia; Artiodactyla; Physeteridae. The record is from RNAcentral.